GAUGAACGCUGGCGGCGUGCCUAAUACAUGCAAGUCGAGCGAACAGACGAGGAGCUUGCUCCUCUGACGUUAGCGGCGGACGGGUGAGUAACACGUGGAUAACCUACCUAUAAGACUGGGAUAACUUCGGGAAACCGGAGCUAAUACCGGAUAAUAUAUUGAACCGCAUGGUUCAAUAGUGAAAGACGGUUUUGCUGUCACUUAUAGAUGGAUCCGCGCCGCAUUAGCUAGUUGGUAAGGUAACGGCUUACCAAGGCGACGAUGCGUAGCCGACCUGAGAGGGUGAUCGGCCACACUGGAACUGAGACACGGUCCAGACUCCUGCGGGAGGCAGCAGUAGGGAAUCUUCCGCAAUGGGCGAAAGCCUGACGGAGCAACGCCGCGUGAGUGAUGAAGGUCUUCGGAUCGUAAAACUCUGUUAUUAGGGAAGAACAAAUGUGUAAGUAACUAUGCACGUCUUGACGGUACCUAAUCAGAAAGCCACGGCUAACUACGUG
Molecule: ribosomal RNA, 497 nt
Filed under: uncultured bacterium
Lineage: Bacteria
Description: partial 16S ribosomal RNA
Rfam family: Bacterial small subunit ribosomal RNA
Source: RNAcentral